UCCCUGGUGGUCCAGUGGUUAGGACCCAGCACUUUUACUGCUGUGGGCCUGGGUUCUAUCCCUGGUCCAGGAA
Non-coding RNA from Bos taurus (domestic cattle), 73 nucleotides. The record is from Rfam. NCBI's taxonomy places the organism in Eukaryota, Metazoa, Chordata, Mammalia, Artiodactyla, Bovidae.